UACAGAGGGUGCAAGCGUUAAUCGGAAUUACUGGGCGUAAAGCGCGCGUAGGUGGUUUGUUAAGUUGGAUGUGAAAGCCCCGGGCUCAACCUGGGAACUGCAUCCAAAACUGGCAAGCUAGAGUAGGGCAGAGGGUGGUGGAAUUUCCUGUGUAGCGGUGAAAUGCGUAGAUAUAGGAAGGAACACCAGUGGCGAAGGCGACCACCUGGGCUCAUACUGACACUGAGGUGCGAAAGCGUGGGGAGCAAACAGG
This 253-nucleotide ribosomal RNA is filed under the name uncultured bacterium. RNAcentral describes it as "partial 16S ribosomal RNA". It matches the Rfam family "Bacterial small subunit ribosomal RNA", at positions 524 to 776 of the family's 1533-position model. The record is from RNAcentral. RNAcentral also lists the same sequence under 1 other name.